RNAcentral lists this long non-coding RNA (1928 nucleotides) under Anser brachyrhynchus (Pink-footed goose). Its description in RNAcentral is "lncRNA (ENSABRG00000021579.1)". The record is from RNAcentral. Lineage: Eukaryota; Metazoa; Chordata; Aves; Anseriformes; Anatidae.
GGAGAAGUGGCCUGGCCUAAACACCAAGGACUUGUUCAUAGCCUAAAAAAAGGGAGAGGAGGAGUCUGGUUUUGGAGGUGUCACUCUUUGUGGAAAACAGACUUAGAUAACUGGAGCUUUCAAGCCGUUCCCCCCUGAAAGGAGGAAUUGUUUUAAGUAGAAGGGGCAGAAAAGGUUGACCCUUUUCCACUUCUGUCUGACAACAAACUGGUCCUUGUUUGGAGAACAAGUUAAUGUGGAACAUCAUUACCAUAUUAAAGUUGUGCCAUUUCUGACUGGGAAGAAGAAACUGCCUGGCUUUGGACAAGGAUUUGGAGCUGACCUUUCUCUGGGCUUGCAGGACUUGAGCAACGCCUGGAGUCGUCAGUCUCCUGUGGGUGAAAAACGAUAAACAGACUCUCAAGGGAUGCAUCUUGGCGGAGCUAGAAAGGUGCACUUUCCAUUUUGCCAAUCUCCGAGUGAAUUGCUCUGGUAUCAGGCAGGAGGAAGCUGGGGAGAGAUGGUUAAUGUGCUGCUAUGGCCAUCGAGCCAGGGGUUUGUACCCUGUGCGUCCUACUCCACUGCUGGUUUGUGCCCCUCUGCUUCCCAGCUCAUCACCUUGCAGCAUUGGCCACGGCCCUCAGCUGAUCUCCAAGAGCAAGGAUGUUGUCUUGGUGUGAUCUGAAGACACUCUGGAGCUGGAAACACACCAGGAGAAGUUUCUGUUCAUCAUCUUUUUUGCUGUUAAUAAUGUAACUCUAAAUCCAUCUCGGGAAAUCCUUUUUAAUACAGCUGUAGAGACAGGGAAGAGUUAAUUGCGUUCCUCUGCUCUGCUCUGUGUACAUUAUAGGCCAUGAGAGAAAGGGUUUGAAGCCUUUUAGCUGGGAUUUCAAAGCCAGAGAGUAGAACAGCACGUUUAUAGCUGGUUAAUAUAUCUCAGUUCUCAUCAGCAUUUAGUAACCCCCUACCCUGUCUUUACUGCUUUGUUGUUGUUUAUUUUAUUUUAUUUUUUUAAUGCAAACUUAUCUAACAGUAUGUAUUUCAUUAAAAAACAAAACAAAACAAAACAAUACACAUCAGAGCUUGCAUCCUAACACCUUUUAGCAGGAAAGGAAUGAUGUCAAGAAACAGAUUAAGAAAAAGGAACCAGAAAGGAUUUUUGGAAGAGGAAGACUGGAACCUCCUCUUCAGCUCCUAAAUUGCAGAUUUGGUGUUUGAGUUUGUGUCGAUUUACAGGGAGAAACGGGUGGGUAAGAGAGAACUGAGAAUUUACUGACUUCAGACAUGAAGAUCUCCGUAAGACAAAUGCUUGUCACCCUCAUACAUCUUCCCAAUCAGUUGGGAAACAAGACUUAAUCAGUUGAGACGGUCUGAGCAAAUAGGGUUAUCUUGCAGCUCUCUCUAAGAGUGGCCAGAUUAAUACUUAAUUCUGUCGAACAAGAAGUGAAGCCUGGAGAAGGCAGCCUGCCUCGGAGAAGGGCUGCCGUCAGCGCCACAAAGGGGACGAUGAAACGCGAGCGGUCAGGUUCACUUUUGUUUAAAAUCAAUUUCAUUUGCUCUAUCACAACCUGGUUGUGUUUGUAUUUUCAGUAAUGGCUGGGAAUAAUUAAUUCUCCUUCAUUUAACAGAUUCCUUGCUCUCUCAUCACUUGAAAGAAACCCCCAAAUUAUGUUAAAAAAUGACUUUCACAACAAAUUAACUAGAGAUUUAAAACCAGUUGUCGGUGUCCCUUUAAGUCAAAUCCUCUUUCUGCUUAUAGCACAGAUGCAUGAAAGAGGAGGAUGCUGUUCCUGAGCAAGCGUGGAGGAAGAUUGAGUUGUGCGUGGGAGGACAGAACAGGAGAACACUCCAGUUACUUGGGCCACUCCUCCAGCAAAUUUAAUAAGUAUUGUUAGAAAGUACUUUGCAAGGAAAAAUAAAGUUAAUCUCCUAAGCGUAGUUGAAUGAUG